This 406-nucleotide ribosomal RNA is filed under the name uncultured bacterium. RNAcentral's name for it is "partial 16S ribosomal RNA". It matches the Rfam family "Bacterial small subunit ribosomal RNA", at positions 29 to 526 of the family's 1533-position model. The record is from RNAcentral.
AUUGAACGCUGGCGGCAGGCCUAACACAUGCAAGUCGAACGAGUGGCGGACGGGUGAGUAAUGUCUGGGAAACUGCCCGAUGGAGGGGGAUAACUACUGGAAACGGUAGCUAAUACCGCAUACCAUCGAAUGUGCACAGAUGGGAUUAGCUAGUAGGUGGGGGAACGGCUCACCGAGGCGACGAUCCCUAGCUGGUAGGAGAGGAUGACCAGCACAACGGGAAUGGAGAACCGGUCCAGACUCCUACGGUGGGCAGCAGUGGGGAAUAUUGCACAAUGGGCGAAAGCCUGAUGCAGCCAGGCCGGUUGUAGGAAGAAGGCCUUCGGGUUGUAAAGUACUUUCAGCGAGGAGGCGUUACUCGCAGAAGAAGCAUCGGCUAACUCCGUGCCAGCAGCCGCGGUAAUUC